GGCUGAUGCCAAGAUGCCCGAUGCCCAGUCCGGCUAUGAGAAAGGCAGCACCGUUGCCAUGGCCGGUCUGUCCGGGCUGAACAUGGUUUACGA
RNAcentral lists this non-coding RNA (93 nucleotides) under marine eukaryotic metagenome. RNAcentral describes it as "Pyrrolysine insertion sequence mttB". It matches the Rfam family "Pyrrolysine insertion sequence mttB". The record is from RNAcentral.